AUUAGAUCGCGGCCACUCAGGCUUCCCUAAUGUGAUUGGUACCAUAGACUGCACACACAUUGCGAUCAAGGCCCCCCCAGGCCCCAAUGAAGGGGAUUUUGUCAAUCGAAAGUGGGUUCACAGUAUAAAUGUGCAGGGGCCUACGAUGGGAUUCUCCUUGGAGACAGGGGUUAUGCAUGCAGGCAGUACUUCAUGACACCGUUCCCUGACCCCAACCCUGGGCCACGAACCCGCUACAAUGCAGCUCUAGCCAGGACAAGGGCACGCAUUGAAAUGACCUUUGAGCAAAUAAAGGGAAGAUUUCAGUGUCUGAAAAGUCUAAGGGUUGCACCUGACAGGGCAUGUGACAUUAUUGUUGCAUGUGCCGUACUGCACAACAUUGCCACCAUCAGAAAGGAGAGGACUCCUGUGGUGGAGGUGCAGCCUGAUGAUGACCUCCAGCCAGUGCACUUGGACCAACCUAGUGGCAGAGCUGCAUGGGACAGAA
Oreochromis aureus is the source of this 487-nucleotide long non-coding RNA. RefSeq lists it as uncharacterized. The transcript has 3 exons. The record is from RefSeq and is a predicted model, not a curated record. Lineage: Eukaryota; Metazoa; Chordata; Actinopteri; Cichliformes; Cichlidae.